AAAAAACCCAGACCUAAAUCAACUAAAAGCUAUAAGAAUUGCAUCAAUCUCCCACUAUUCGUUAAUUUUGACAACCAAUCAGCUAUAGUACAGAAACAAGAAUCCCAAAUAUUACCAUUUUACAACCCAUGUACUUACCAGCAAGUAAUCAAUUCAAAAAACCCAUCAAAAUCCCAGAAGUAAAAUCCACCAAAAACCAUAAAUAUCUGAGGAUCAACAAAAUUCAUAUAAUAAAGGUACAACCUUGGUCCUUGACAUACUCAGCAAAGGUGUUGCAGUCUAAGCAGAGAGCCAGAUCAGUUAAUCCCAGACUCUCACACUCUUUGGUGCUAAGUUGCAUUUGCACAUGAGCAGACCCACCAGUAACAAAACCCAAUGUAUGGUCAUUUCCUGCUACAGAAGUAGGAUUAGGAUUAGAUGUACCCCAAUAAUAACAUAUUCAUAUAAAAAAAAAGAACCUUUAAAGUUGCUUAGAAGAAAGAAGAAUCCACAAAAAAAAAAGGCGAUAACAGAAACAAGAGAAGAAAUCUAUUGAGAGAGUAUAAAAGCUAGUUUUACCAACAGAAAUUAAUCAAUAAAAAUAAUGUCACUGAUGAAAUUUCCCCAAAGGGAACAAAACAUUGUACAUACACGUGGAAGCAAAUUCUAGAGAAGUUCCUAUGCAUUAUUUUCUAAUUUUUCUUUUUUUAAAAAAAAAUGCAAUAUUGGGUCCAACAUCAAAUGUCAAUUGUAUGACGCACAGGAAUACUAUUUUCUGAACAUAAUUUUUCCAGUCAAAGAUCGAGCCAAGUUUUUUUAGUAAUUUAAAAGAGGAAAGAUGGUAUCUUCAUAGUAGAUUAAAUGGAUUUUGCUUUUGAAACUCCAUUUAUGUAAUUCGUAUAACUAUGUAUCUCAUGAAUCAUGAACUGAUCAAAACAUCUUCGAGGAAGUUAGUCAUAAUAAUGAUUUCAUUUUGCACGUUAAAACCACAAAACCAGAAAAAUCGACUAUGAAAUAAAGAUUUCAUCAUACAGCUUCCCAAAUCUUGACAUUAUGAAGAAUACCAAGUAGUUUAUAUAACAGAUUCAUUAUGUUUCCCAGCCAAGGGAAAAAAAGAAGAUACAGAAGAAAAAGAUACUUGUAUCUAAUUUACUUUGACAGACACAAUAAAACCCAAAACACAAAACACUGGAAGAAAUUUGCUCAUUCUUCCAAUCACUUUUACCUUUAUCCUUUCUCUGACAACAACUUCAAUAAACAAAAAUAGGCUAAAUUAGGUGAGAGAAACCAUUUAUAGAAAAAGACUAUGGUUUAUAGUAUAAAUAGUAGAACACAAAUAAAUAUUACCAGCUUUAACUACUUCUUAGAGAAGUCAACUUCAAGUUUUCAUAUUCCUUCCUGUAACAACAACCACUAAUAUACUUGGAAAAGUAGCACCAAAAGAACAAAAAAAAAAAGGAAAAAAAAUCAUCCAUCAAAUCCUAAACCAGGCGUGGAAGAGGGAAAAAUUAAAUCAGAUUGAUGCAGCAAACUUAC
Molecule: long non-coding RNA, 1515 nt
Filed under: Coffea arabica (coffee)
Lineage: Eukaryota; Viridiplantae; Streptophyta; Magnoliopsida; Gentianales; Rubiaceae
Description: long non-coding RNA (CARA_LNC005978)
Source: RNAcentral